GAAGUCGGAAUCGCUAGUAAUCGCGGAUCAGCACGCCGCGGUGAAUACGUUCCCGGGCCUUGUACACACCGCCCGUCACACCACGAGAGUUUGUAACACCCGAAGUCGGUGAGGUAACCAUUUGGAGCCAGCCGCCUAAGGUGGGAUAGAUGAUUGGGGUGAAGUCGUAACAAGGUAGCCGUAUCGGAAGGUGCGGCUGGAUCACCUCCUUU
This 212-nucleotide ribosomal RNA is filed under the name Streptococcus suis. Its description in RNAcentral is "partial 16S ribosomal RNA". It matches the Rfam family "Bacterial small subunit ribosomal RNA", at positions 1322 to 1533 of the family's 1533-position model. Lineage: Bacteria; Bacillati; Bacillota; Bacilli; Lactobacillales; Streptococcaceae. The record is from RNAcentral.